GAAUCCUGAAUUGUUUACUUGAAUUCUGAAUUGCCUACCUGAACUCUAACUUAUCAACGUGAAUGCUAGAUUCGGAAUUGAGAAAUUAGAAUUUAGAGUUGCGUCAAACUAUUUUCUGUGUAUAAACGUUCCGAAUUCAGAAAUCUGAUUUGAAUCACAAUAAGUCUUUUGAUCCAUAUGAAAGGUUCGAAUUCAAAAUGCUGAAUUCUGGCAGCAGUGUUCCAGAAUUCUAAAUUAUGGAUUCUCAAAGGUUAGAAUUACA
Molecule: long non-coding RNA, 262 nt
Filed under: Ananas comosus (pineapple)
Lineage: Eukaryota; Viridiplantae; Streptophyta; Magnoliopsida; Poales; Bromeliaceae
Description: long non-coding RNA (ACOM_LNC000802)
Source: RNAcentral